UUGAACCAUUUUUUCUUACAGAUUGGUGACGCUGACUGAUAUAUGUGAGAAAAGUGAACAUAUGGUACAGUACUGUGAUAAAUAUUUGACAGGAAGAAAAGG
RNAcentral lists this microRNA precursor (102 nucleotides) under Ciona intestinalis (vase tunicate). RNAcentral describes it as "microRNA cin-mir-101 precursor". Its record names the gene cin-mir-101. Lineage: Eukaryota; Metazoa; Chordata; Ascidiacea; Phlebobranchia; Cionidae. The record is from miRBase by way of RNAcentral.